This 386-nucleotide transfer-messenger RNA is filed under the name Helicobacter pylori. It matches the Rfam family "transfer-messenger RNA". Rfam says of the family: Bacterial tmRNA, also known as 10Sa RNA or SsrA, is named for its dual tRNA and mRNA-like properties. RNAcentral also lists the same sequence under 1 other name. Lineage: Bacteria; Pseudomonadati; Campylobacterota; Epsilonproteobacteria; Campylobacterales; Helicobacteraceae. The record is from RNAcentral.
GGGGCUGACUUGGAUUUCGACAGAUUUCUUGUCGCACAGAUAGCAUGCCAAGCGCUACUUGUAAAACAGCAACAAAAAUAACUGUAAACAACGCAGAUUACGCUCCAGCUUACGCUAAAGUUGCGUGAGUUAAUCUCCUUUUGGAGCUGGACUGAUUAGAAUUUCUAGCGUUUUAAUCACUCCAUAACCUUAAGCUAGACGCUUUUGAAAGGUGGUUCGCCUUUUAAACUAAGAAACAAGAACUCUUGAAACUAUCUCAAGGUUUUAGAAAGUUGGACCAGAGCUAGUUUUAAGGCUAAAAAGCUAACCAAUUUUCUAAGCAUUGUAGAAGUUUGUGUUUAGGACAAGAUUUUUGGACUGGGGUUCGAUUCCCCACAGCUCCACCA